RNAcentral lists this long non-coding RNA (1255 nucleotides) under Capra hircus (goat). RNAcentral describes it as "lncRNA (ENSCHIG00010022204.1)". Lineage: Eukaryota; Metazoa; Chordata; Mammalia; Artiodactyla; Bovidae. The record is from RNAcentral.
UAAAAGAAAAUGCUUUCUUUCUUUCUUUCUUCUUUUUUUUUUUCUUUUCUCCUUCCUGAUGAACAUUCUCACUGAAUGAUCACCAAAGUUCAUUUUGGAGAAGGGCAUGGCAACCCUCUUUGGUACUCUUGCCUGGAAAAUCCCAUGAACAGAGGAGCCUGGCUGGCUAAAAUCCAUGGGGUUGGAAGGAGUCAGACACAACUGAAGUGACUUAGCAUGAAGUUCAUUUUAGAAUUAGCACACUUGACUAAUUCCUCCACACUUAACUACCUAUCUUUUUUCAUAGCAUUUAAAAAAAUUCACUUUGAGUAUGCCAAGGUUUUCUUAUCCAUGGGUUGUUUUCAAAGAGACCUCUAUAGCAAACCAAAGGCCACAGAGUUUAAGCAAAUAGUUAAUAUGCUCUGAAAAGAGAGACAGAAAAAUCCCUCAUACCGAUGACUUGGUGAUUAAGCCUGGGAGACAACUUGAAUAAUUAUUUUCAUAAAUUAUAGAAAUAAAAACCAAAUAUAGCUUCUAACGGCUAUAUUCUUGCUGAGCUGCUCCACUCUGGUAAAGACUUGAAGUUAUUUUAGGAAUAUUUUAUAAUUUAAAAAGCUUAAUGAAAACUGUCUUUUUCUAGAAGGAAUGAAAAGCCAUUCUCAAAUGGAUGUGGGGUGACCUAGUUCUCUCUCCCUCUGCAGCACCGAUCAUGAGCUGUUCUGCAGAGCUGGGCUUGCCUCCCUCAUCACUCCCUGGAACACUUCUCAAAGCCUUGCCAUUACACAGCAUUCCCAGGGUGGUGGUGAUUUAGGUGGAUAAGUCUCUUUAAAGUUAUAUUUCUAUUUUUACAUAUUUUGGGACAUGUAACAUAACACCCAACCUGAUAUUACAUGGCUAUUACUCCUCAGAUGAAGGCUUAAGUAAAACAAAAAAAAAAAGUAUGUCAAUUUAAAUGAUAGUAUUAAGAGAAUUACAAUUUGUAUUUAGAGAUAAUAAACAUUGUCAAGGACACCAGAGUAACUGAAAUUCUGGAAAUAAUGCCUUCUCCCAUGGAGAAACAUGCUUUGGAAUUUGAUGUACUUACAAAUGACUUUUAAAAAAUGCUUUUAUUUUGAAAUAUGAUAGAUUCAUAAGAUGUUGUAAAGAUAGUACAGAGAAUUCCUAUAUACCUUUUGUCCAGUUUCCCCCAGUGAGUCUAUCUUACAUAGUACAGUACAAUAUCAAAAGUAGGAGACUGAGUUAGUGCAAUGUGUGUUCACAGCUCUAUGACACUUUA